Molecule: transfer RNA, 75 nt
Filed under: Planctomycetota bacterium
Lineage: Bacteria; Pseudomonadati; Planctomycetota
Description: tRNA-Pro
Rfam family: tRNA
About the family: Transfer RNA (tRNA) molecules are approximately 80 nucleotides in length.
Source: RNAcentral
CAGGGUGUAGCUCAGUUUGGGCAGAGCGCGCGCCUCGGAUGCGCGAGGGCGUUGGUUCGAAUCCAACCACCCUGA